GGAGAGGUGGCUGAGUGGUUGAAAGUACCGCACUCGAAAUGCGGCGUGCCUUUACGGGCAUCGUGGGUUCGAAUCCCACCCUCUCCGCCA
This 90-nucleotide transfer RNA is filed under the name Phenylobacterium sp. RNAcentral describes it as "tRNA-Ser". It matches the Rfam family "tRNA". Rfam says of the family: Transfer RNA (tRNA) molecules are approximately 80 nucleotides in length. Their secondary structure includes four short double-helical elements and three loops (D, anti-codon, and T loops). Further hydrogen bonds mediate the characteristic L-shaped molecular structure. tRNAs have two regions of fundamental functional importance: the anti-codon, which is responsible for specific mRNA codon recognition, and the 3' end, to which the tRNAs corresponding amino acid is attached (by aminoacyl-tRNA synthetases). tRNAs cope with the degeneracy of the genetic code in two manners: having more than one tRNA (with a specific anti-codon) for a particular amino acid; and 'wobble' base-pairing, i.e. permitting non-standard base-pairing at the 3rd anti-codon position. Lineage: Bacteria; Pseudomonadati; Pseudomonadota; Alphaproteobacteria; Caulobacterales; Caulobacteraceae. The record is from RNAcentral.